UACGGGGGGAGCAAGCGUUGUUCGGAUUUACUGGGCGUAAAGAGCUCGUAGGCGGCUUGUCACGUCGGAUGUGAAAGCCCGAGGCUUAACCUCGGGUCUGCACUCGAUACGGGCUAGCUAGAGUGUGGUAGGGGAGAUCGGAAUUCCUGGUGUAGCGGUGAAAUGCGCAGAUAUCAGGAGGAACACCGGUGGCGAAGGCGGAUCUCUGGGCCAUUACUGACGCUGAGGAGCGAAAGCGUGGGGAGCGAACAGG
RNAcentral lists this ribosomal RNA (253 nucleotides) under uncultured bacterium. Its description in RNAcentral is "partial 16S ribosomal RNA". It matches the Rfam family "Bacterial small subunit ribosomal RNA", at positions 524 to 776 of the family's 1533-position model. The record is from RNAcentral.